UUCCCCCAAAACACCAAAUCAGUUUUCCCCUAAAUUCACAUAAACAACAUCGUUUUUUUCCACCCUUUUAUCCCCAAAGACAUACCCGAAAAGCUUAAGUGUUUUCCCCUAAAAUUUUCCCCUAAAAUUUUCCCCCUAACCCUAAAUUUUUAACAAAUCCAAAACCAACCCAUCUCUCCAUUGCUGGACCCGACCAUCUAUUGCAUCACCAUCGACUCGACCAUCUGCUGCAUCACCGUCGCACUCCUUUGCUGCAACUAAUCGGAAUUGAAACCUGGGUUAGAGAAAUUACUGGUGGAGGAAUUGACAAUCUUCUGCAGCAGCUUCACCUUCUACUUCAUCAUCAUAUUUACUUUCGGAUACUGAAUAGAAGAGAAAGGGGAAGAAGGCAAAGAUAAAGG
Long non-coding RNA from Gossypium arboreum, 401 nucleotides. RefSeq lists it as uncharacterized. Lineage: Eukaryota; Viridiplantae; Streptophyta; Magnoliopsida; Malvales; Malvaceae. The record is from RefSeq and is a predicted model, not a curated record. The transcript is spliced from 2 exons.